UACAGAGGUGGCAAGCGUUGUUCGGAAUUACUGGGCGUAAAGGGCGCGUAGGCGGUCCCAUAAGUUCCGCGUGAAAUCCCCCGGCUCAACCGGGGAAUGGCGCGGAAAACUGCGGGGCUUGAGUUCGGGAGAGGGAAGCGGAAUUCCGGGUGUAGCGGUGAAAUGCGUAGAUAUCCGGAGGAACACCGGUGGCGAAGGCGGCUUCCUGGACCGACACUGACGCUGAGGCGCGAAAGCUAGGGGAGCAAACGGG
RNAcentral lists this ribosomal RNA (253 nucleotides) under uncultured bacterium. RNAcentral's name for it is "partial 16S ribosomal RNA". It matches the Rfam family "Bacterial small subunit ribosomal RNA", at positions 524 to 776 of the family's 1533-position model. The record is from RNAcentral.